UUGACCUUCCAAACAAGACAUAUCAAACGAGAUAAUGACACUGAUCAGCCUGACUUAUUUUUAGCUCUACUGGUCAGAGACAAGAAAGCUUGUGAUUGUAAACAAGGGCAUGACAUGGUGGAAACAGCUGGAGGAGACAGGGCCAUUGGAUGCUAAUCUUCCAAGAUGUGGAAACCACAGAUGUCCUCAACAAGACUUGUGUAACAGCAGAUGCACCCAACUGGACAUGGAUAGAAACAACUUGAUGAUGCAUAGCCAGUACUUGCUGAUCUUCCAAGAUGUGGAAACAGCAAAUGCACCCAACAGUACAUGGUGAAAACAGUAGAUGAACCCAAAAGGACCUGAUAGAAACAACUGGAGGAUGAAUAGCCAAAGGAUGCUGAUCUGACAUUUAUCAGCUGCAGCCAACAGAACCUUGUGGAAACAACUGAAAUAGACAAGCUUGAUGAACCUCUUUUAAGAUGCGAAAACAAUGAUUUUCCAAUAUGUGAAAACACCAGCUACACCCAAAAGGAAUUGGUGGAAAGAUGGGAAAGCAACAAAUACUUCUAAAAAGACUUAGUGAAAUAAAUCUU
Long non-coding RNA from Saccostrea cuccullata (small rock oyster), 575 nucleotides. RefSeq lists it as uncharacterized. The transcript is spliced from 3 exons. Lineage: Eukaryota; Metazoa; Mollusca; Bivalvia; Ostreida; Ostreidae. The record is from RefSeq and is a predicted model, not a curated record.